GACGGUUUGGCCGAGUGGUCUCAGGUGCCAGAUUUAGGCUCUGGUCCUAAAGGGCGUGGGUUCAAAUCACAGCCAUCA
This 78-nucleotide transfer RNA is filed under the name Ipomoea nil (Japanese morning glory). It matches the Rfam family "tRNA". Rfam says of the family: Transfer RNA (tRNA) molecules are approximately 80 nucleotides in length. The record is from Rfam by way of RNAcentral. Lineage: Eukaryota; Viridiplantae; Streptophyta; Magnoliopsida; Solanales; Convolvulaceae.